This 358-nucleotide ribosomal RNA is filed under the name uncultured bacterium. RNAcentral describes it as "bacterial SSU rRNA". It matches the Rfam family "Bacterial small subunit ribosomal RNA", at positions 1171 to 1533 of the family's 1533-position model. The record is from RNAcentral.
AGGGGGGGACGACGUCAAGUCAUCAUGGCCCUUACGCCCGGGGCUACACACGUGCUACAAUGGCGCGCACAGAGCGUAGCAAGCCUGCGAAGGCAAGCCAACCGCAAAAAGCGCGCCUCAGUUCGGAUCGGAGGCUGCAACUCGCCUCCGUGAAGCUGGAAUCGCUAGUAAUCGCGCAUCAGCAACGGCGCGGUGAAUACGUUCCCGGACCUUGUACACACCGCCCGUCAAGCCAUGGGAGCUUGGGGGACCUGAAGCCGGUGACCGCGAGGGGCCGGUUAGGGUAAGACAGGUGACUGGGGCUAAGUCGUAACAAGGUAGCCGUACCGGAAGGUGCGGCUGGAACACCUCCUUUCUG